AGUAACCUGAUGAAGCGAGCAAACACGCGGUUCAAGAUUGUCCCAGAAACGAGUAAUCAUUGGUGACCGUCCUUAGCUCGGGACAGGACCAUCAGCUGGGCGGCGGCGGUAGUGGUGGCGACGGCGGUUGUGGUGGUAAGGUUAUACGAAGAGGAAGAAAAGGAAGAGAAGUAAAAGGAAAAGCCAGAGGAGGAGAAAGAAAAAUAGAAGAAGGCGCGAGAGAAGGAGAUGAGGAGGAGAAGGAGGAAAGCGCUAUAGAAGAAAGAAGAGCACCUCCCGCCUCGCGCCUUCCUUCCUCCCGUCUCCCGGAGUGUACACACCUGCACUCUUGAGGCUGCUGGCGAGAAGAACUGUGUCCCAAGCCCUCCACCAUGGCCGCCGCUCCGAAAGUUUGCGUCCGUCGCGCGAAGCUCAUCUUCCUGAUGGAGAACGCAGGCAAGGACGUCUUGACCUUCGUGUUGAAGCGCGGCGCGCUGAACGCCCCCGCCACGCCGCCAGGCCAGUCCCUCAUUGACUACCUUGACAACCUCCCUCAAGGCUCGACAGCCAACUAUGGCAGGAUGAGUAACAAACAAAAGAAAGCAGCACUGAACCACAGUUCAGUGCUGCUUAUCCUCUGACGUGACUACUUUAUUCAUUAUUUUUU
Molecule: long non-coding RNA, 646 nt
Organism: Scylla paramamosain (green mud crab)
Lineage: Eukaryota; Metazoa; Arthropoda; Malacostraca; Decapoda; Portunidae
Exons: 3
Source: RefSeq, a predicted model, not a curated record